Molecule: ribosomal RNA, 382 nt
Filed under: uncultured bacterium
Lineage: Bacteria
Description: bacterial SSU rRNA
Rfam family: Bacterial small subunit ribosomal RNA
Source: RNAcentral
UAAGACAGAGGAGCCAAGCGUUGUCCGGAUUGACUGGGCGUAAAGCGCACGCAGGCGGUUGCGCGCGUGGGGUGUGAAAACUGGCGGCUUAACUGCCAGAGGCCAUCCCAUACGGCGCGACUUGAGCCAUGCAGAGGUCCACGGAAUUGCCGGUGUAGUGGUGAAAUGCGUAGAGAUCGGCAGGAACACCCAGGGGGAAACCAGUGGACUGGGCAUGCGCUGACGCUCAGGUGCGAAAGCGUGGGGAGCGAACCGGAUUAGAUACCCGGGUAGUCCACGCCGUAAACGAUGAAUACUCGGCAUCUGGAGGGCGAUUCUCGUCCUCCGGGUGCCCCAGCUAACGCGGUAAGUAUUCCGCCUGGGAACUACGAGCGCAAGCUUA